This 253-nucleotide ribosomal RNA is filed under the name uncultured bacterium. RNAcentral describes it as "partial 16S ribosomal RNA". It matches the Rfam family "Bacterial small subunit ribosomal RNA", at positions 524 to 776 of the family's 1533-position model. The record is from RNAcentral.
UACGGAGGGUGCAAGCGUUAUCCGGAUUUACUGGGUUUAAAGGGUGCGUAGGUGGUUAGGUAAGUCAGUGGUGAAAUCUUCGAGCUUAACUCGGAAACUGCCAUUGAUACUAUUUAUCUUGAAUACUCUGGAGGUAAGCGGAAUAUGUCAUGUAGCGGUGAAAUGCUUAGAUAUGACAUAGAACACCAAUUGCGAAGGCAGCUUACUACAUAGUUAUUGACACUGAGGCACGAAAGCGUGGGGAUCAAACAGG